GAUGAACGCUGGCGGCGUGCCUAAUACAUGCCAGUCGAGCGAACAGACGAGGAGCUUGCUUUUCUGACGUUAGCGGCGGACGGGUGAGUAACACGUGGAUAACCUACCUAUAAGACUGGGAUAACUUCGGGAAACCGGAGCUAAUACCGGAUAAUAUAUUGAACCGCAUGGUUCAAUAGUGAAAGACGGUCUUGCUGUCACUUAUAGAUGGAUCCGCGCUGCAUUAGCUAGUUGGUAAGGUAACGGCUUACCAAGGCAACGAUGCGUAGCCGACCUGAGAGGGGGUCCGCCCACCCGGGAACGGGACCCGGGUCAGGCCUCCUACGGGAGGAACCAGAAGGGAUCUUUCGGCAUUGGGGGAAAGCCUGACGGGGAACGCCGGCGUAGGUAAUGACGGCUUCGGGUUCGAAAACACCUGUUAUUAGGGAGAAAAAAAUUUGAAAGUACCAGUCACGUUCUUGCCGGUACUAAACAAAAAAGCACCGGCUACCUACGUG
This 497-nucleotide ribosomal RNA is filed under the name uncultured bacterium. RNAcentral describes it as "partial 16S ribosomal RNA". It matches the Rfam family "Bacterial small subunit ribosomal RNA", at positions 28 to 507 of the family's 1533-position model. The record is from RNAcentral.